GUUUGCAGACCUGUAACAACUUGUGUACACACGUAAAAACACACAAGUUGUUAAAGGUCUGCAAACA
Paramuricea clavata is the source of this 67-nucleotide non-coding RNA. Lineage: Eukaryota; Metazoa; Cnidaria; Anthozoa; Malacalcyonacea; Plexauridae. The record is from the annotation of a GenBank genome assembly.